This 433-nucleotide ribosomal RNA is filed under the name uncultured bacterium. RNAcentral's name for it is "partial 16S ribosomal RNA". It matches the Rfam family "Bacterial small subunit ribosomal RNA", at positions 29 to 507 of the family's 1533-position model. The record is from RNAcentral.
AACGAACGCUGGCGGCAGGCCUAACACAUGCAAGUCGAGCGGACCUUUCGGGGUCAGCGGCGGACGGGUGAGUAACGCGUGGGAAUAUGCCCUUCUCUACGGAAUAGUCCUGGGAAACUGGGGGUAAUACCGUAUACGCCCUUUGGGGGAAAGAUUUAUCGGGGAAGGAUUAGCCCGCGUUGGAUUAGGUAGUUGGUGGGGUAAUGGCCUACCAAGCCGACGAUCCAUAGCUGGUUUGAGAGGAUGAUCAGCCACACUGGGACUGAGACACGGCCCAGACUCCUACGGGAGGCAGCAGUGGGGAAUCUUAGACAAUGGGGGCAACCCUGAUCGAGCCAUGCCGGGUGAGUGAUGAAGGCCUUAGGGUUGUAAAGCUCUUUCAGCUGGGAAGAUAAUGACGGUACCAGCAGAAGAAGCCCCGGCUAACUCCGUG